This 403-nucleotide ribosomal RNA is filed under the name uncultured bacterium. Its description in RNAcentral is "bacterial SSU rRNA". It matches the Rfam family "Bacterial small subunit ribosomal RNA", at positions 356 to 775 of the family's 1533-position model. The record is from RNAcentral.
GGGGAAUAUUGGACAAUGGGCGCAAGCCUGAUCCAGCCAUGCCGCGUGAGUGAUGAAGGCCUUAGGGUUGUAAAGCUCUUUUGCCGGGGACGAUAAUGACGGUACCCGUAGAAGAAGCUCCGGCUAACUUCGUGCCAGCAGCCGCGGUAAUACGAAGGGGGCUAGCGUUGUUCGGAAUUACUGGGCGUAAAGCGCGCGCAGGCGGCCAUUCAAGUCAGGGGUGAAAGCCCAGAGCUCAACUCUGGAACUGCCCUUGAAACUGUAUGGCUUGAGUAUGAGAGAGGUGAGUGGAAUUCCCAGUGUAGAGGUGAAAUUCGUAGAUAUUGGGAAGAACACCGGUGGCGAAGGCGGCUCACUGGCCCCAUUACUGACGCUCAGGCGCGACAGCGUGGGGAUCAAACAG